This 334-nucleotide ribosomal RNA is filed under the name uncultured Pseudomonadota bacterium. Its description in RNAcentral is "bacterial SSU rRNA". It matches the Rfam family "Bacterial small subunit ribosomal RNA", at positions 29 to 351 of the family's 1533-position model. The record is from RNAcentral. Lineage: Bacteria; Pseudomonadati; Pseudomonadota.
AAUGAACGCUGGCGGCGUGCUUAACACAUGCAAGUCGAACGAGAAAGUCCUUCGGGGCGAGUAAAGUGGCGCACGGGUGAGUAACGCGUAGGCAAUCUACCCUCAAGACUGGGAUAACAGUGCGAAAGCGCUGCUAAUACCGGAUACGAUUCAUGACCGGGAGGUGAUGAAUGAAAGCCGGCCACUCAGAGAAGCUGGUACUUGGGGAUGAGCCUGCGUCCUAUCAGCUAGUUGGUGGGGUAACGGCCUACCAAGGCGACGACGGGUAGCUGGUCUGAGAGGAUGAUCAGCCACACUGGCACUGAAAUACGGGCCAGACUCCUACGGGUGGCAG